Molecule: ribosomal RNA, 1482 nt
Filed under: metagenome
Description: bacterial SSU rRNA
Rfam family: Bacterial small subunit ribosomal RNA
Source: RNAcentral
AGAGUUUGAUCCUGGCUCAGGAUGAACGCUGGCGGCGUGCCUAACACAUGCAAGUCGAGCGAGAAAUCUUGGAAUGAGACUUCGGUUAAGUGAAGAGAUGGAAAGCGGCGGACGGGUGAGUAACGCGUAGGCAACCUGCCUUAUGCAGAGGGAUAGCCAUUGGAAACGAUGAUUAAAACCUCAUAAAGCCAUUUUAUCACAUGGUAAGAUGGCCAAAGAUUUAUCGGCAUAAGAUGGGCCUGCGUCUGAUUAGCUAGUUGGUGGGGUAACGGCCUACCAAGGCGACGAUCAGUAGCCGACCUGAGAGGGUGAACGGCCACAUUGGAACUGGGACACGGUCCAAACUCCUACGGGAGGCAGCAGUGGGGAAUAUUGCACAAUGGGCGAAAGCCUGAUGCAGCAACGCCGCGUGAGCGAAGAAGGUCUUCGGAUCGUAAAGCUCUGUCCUUAGGGAAGAUAAUGACGGUACCUGAGGAGGAAGCCCCGGCUAACUACGUGCCAGCAGCCGCGGUAAUACGUAGGGGGCAAGCGUUAUCCGGAAUUAUUGGGCGUAAAGAGUGCGUAGGUGGUUACCUAAGCAGAGGGUGAAAGGCACUGGCUUAACCAAUGUCAGCCCCCUGAACUGGGUACCUUGAGUGCAGGAGAGGAAAGCGGAAUUCCUAGUGUAGCGGUGAAAUGCGUAGAUAUUAGGAGGAACACCGGUGGCGAAGGCGGCUUACUGGGCUUUUACUGACGCUGAGGCUCGAAAGCGUGGGGAGCAAACAGGAUUAGAUACCCUGGUAGUCCACGCUGUAAACGAUGAUUACUAGGUGUGGGGGGACUGACCCCUUCCGUGCCGCAGUUAACACAAUAAGUAAUCCACCUGGGGAGUACGGCCGCAAGGUUGAAACUCAAAGGAAUUGACGGGGGCCCGCACAAGCAGUGGAGUAUGUGGUUUAAUUCGAAGCAACGCGAAGAACCUUACCAGGUCUUGACAUCGAGUGCAUAACUAAGAGAUUAGUGAAAUCCCUUCGGGGGCACUUAGACAGGUGGUGCAUGGUUGUCGUCAGCUCGUGUCGUGAGAUGUUGGGUUAAGUCCCGCAACGAGCGCAACCCUUACCUUUAGUUGCUACGCAAGAGCACUCUAAAGGGACUGCCGUUGACAAAACGGAGGAAGGUGGGGAUGACGUCAAAUCACCAUGCCCCUUAUGACCUGGGCUACACACGUACUACAAUGGCAAUCAACAAAGAGAAGCAAGACAGUGAUGUGGAGCAAAUCUCAAAAAAUUGUCCCAGUUCAGAUUGUAGGCUGCAACUCGCCUACAUGAAGUCGGAAUUGCUAGUAAUCGCGGAUCAGAAUGCCGCGGUGAAUACGUUCCCGGGCCUUGUACACACCGCCCGUCACACCAUGGGAGUCGGUAACACCCGAAGUCGGUAGUCUAACAGCAAUGAGGACGCCGCCGAAGGUGGGAUUGAUGACUGGGGUGAAGUCGUAACAAGGUA